Molecule: long non-coding RNA, 364 nt
Organism: Silurus meridionalis
Lineage: Eukaryota; Metazoa; Chordata; Actinopteri; Siluriformes; Siluridae
Exons: 2
Source: RefSeq, a predicted model, not a curated record
GUAAUUAGUAACUAAUCAUAGUCAGGUGAAGCCUAAUGAAUGUUACUAAUGCAUGAGCAGUUUAGGAUUGAUGUUUCUUGUUUAAAAGGAAUCAUGCAAGAUCAACUUCUAGUGCAGUUAUUGAUGGGUAUGUCUGAGUUACUACAAUAGUCUAACAGAUGAUAGAAACCUGUCUUCCUGACCAUGUCUGCAUUUGCAUGUUAAACAAAUCUGGUUCUACACUUCAGUUCUUGAUUUGCAUGCCUCCCAAAAACAGUGCUGCAGCUAUGAUGAGCAAAGAAACAUGGCUGACUUGGUAUUGGUACCAUUGGGUAUCUCUGACCAAUGUCUGAUUGCGGUUAAUCUUCUCUCUGAGCUGUAGUUA